RNAcentral lists this ribosomal RNA (279 nucleotides) under uncultured bacterium. Its description in RNAcentral is "partial 16S ribosomal RNA". It matches the Rfam family "Bacterial small subunit ribosomal RNA", at positions 506 to 784 of the family's 1533-position model. The record is from RNAcentral.
UGCCAGCCGCCGCGGUAAUACGAAGGGGGCUAGCGUUGUUCGGAAUUACUGGGCGUAAAGCGCACGUAGGCGGAUCGUUAAGUGAGGGGUGAAAUCCCAGGGCUCAACCCUGGAACUGCCUUUAAAACUCCCAGUCUUGAGUUCGAGAGAGGUGAGUGGAAUUCCGAGUGUAGAGGUGAAAUUCGUAGAUAUUCGGAGGAACGCCAGUGGCGAAGGCGGCUCACUGGACCGGUACUGACGCUGAGGUACGAAAGCGUGGGGAGCGAACAGGAUUAGAUA